AUAGAGGUUCUACUGUAAUAAGAU
RNAcentral lists this non-coding RNA (24 nucleotides) under Arabidopsis thaliana (thale cress). The record is from RNAcentral. Lineage: Eukaryota; Viridiplantae; Streptophyta; Magnoliopsida; Brassicales; Brassicaceae.